AUGCAUGGGAGUCUUGGGAGUAGCAUCCUCCUCACCGCACGGGCCCCCUCCUCGCUGCACGGGCCUCCUCCUUGCCGCAGUGACGCCCCUCGCCGGAGUAGCGCCGGCCAAGCCCAUCGGCCACCAGGUGCGUCCUUGGAUCAGUUUCCCACAGGCAGCAUGUUGUUCCUACUCCUCUACUUACUACAGCAGCACAAUGUUCUUCUGUAUUGCAAUAGAGUAGGAGUAUUUGCUAGAGUAGCUAGGACGUACAACUAUGGUUAA
Molecule: ribosomal RNA, 264 nt
Filed under: Triticum aestivum (bread wheat)
Lineage: Eukaryota; Viridiplantae; Streptophyta; Magnoliopsida; Poales; Poaceae
Description: partial small subunit ribosomal RNA
Source: RNAcentral